Molecule: ribosomal RNA, 497 nt
Filed under: uncultured bacterium
Lineage: Bacteria
Description: partial 16S ribosomal RNA
Rfam family: Bacterial small subunit ribosomal RNA
Source: RNAcentral
GAUGAACGCUGGCGGCGUGCCUAAUACAUGCAAGUCGAGCGAACAGAUAAGGAGCUUGCUCCUUUGACGUUAGCGGCGGACGGGUGAGUAACACGUGGUUAACCUACCUUUAAGACUGGAAUAACUCCGGGAAACCGGGGCUAAUGCCGUAUAACAUUUAGAACCGCAUGGUUCUUAAUUGAAAGAUGGUUUUGCUAUCUCUUAUAGAUGUACCCUCGCCGUAUUAGCUAGUUGGUAAGGUAACGGCUUACCAAGGCAACGAUACGUAGCCGACCUGAGAGGGUGAUCGGCCACACUGGAACUGAGACACGGUCCAGACUCCUACGGGAGGCAGCAGUAGGGAAUCUUCCGCAAUGGGCGAAAGCAUGACGGAGCAACGCCGCGUGAGUGAUGAAGGUCUUCGGAUCGUAAAACUCUGUUAUUAGGGAAGAACAAAUGUGUAAGUAACUGUGAACGUCUUGACGGUACCUAAUCAGAAAGCCACGGCUAACUACGUG